CCGCCCGUAGCUCAGUUGGUUUAGAGCAUGGAGCUUAUACCUCCAGGGUCCUUGGUUCGAGUCCAAGCGGGCGGACAA
RNAcentral lists this transfer RNA (78 nucleotides) under Candidatus Kaiserbacteria bacterium. RNAcentral's name for it is "tRNA-Ile". It matches the Rfam family "tRNA". From Rfam's summary of the family: Transfer RNA (tRNA) molecules are approximately 80 nucleotides in length. Their secondary structure includes four short double-helical elements and three loops (D, anti-codon, and T loops). Further hydrogen bonds mediate the characteristic L-shaped molecular structure. tRNAs have two regions of fundamental functional importance: the anti-codon, which is responsible for specific mRNA codon recognition, and the 3' end, to which the tRNAs corresponding amino acid is attached (by aminoacyl-tRNA synthetases). tRNAs cope with the degeneracy of the genetic code in two manners: having more than one tRNA (with a specific anti-codon) for a particular amino acid; and 'wobble' base-pairing, i.e. permitting non-standard base-pairing at the 3rd anti-codon position. Lineage: Bacteria; Candidatus Kaiseribacteriota. The record is from RNAcentral. RNAcentral also lists the same sequence under 1 other name.